Molecule: ribosomal RNA, 1178 nt
Filed under: Salmonella enterica subsp. enterica serovar Thompson
Lineage: Bacteria; Pseudomonadati; Pseudomonadota; Gammaproteobacteria; Enterobacterales; Enterobacteriaceae
Description: bacterial LSU rRNA
Rfam family: Bacterial large subunit ribosomal RNA
Source: RNAcentral
GGGUUGUGAGGUUAAGCGACUAAGCGUACACGGUGGAUGCCCUGGCAGUCAGAGGCGAUGAAGGGCGUGCUAAUCUGCGAUAAGCGCCGGUAAGGUGAUAUGAACCGUUAUAACCGGCGAUACCCGAAUGGGGAAACCCAGUGUGACUCGUCACACUAUCAUUAACUGAAUCCAUAGGUUAAUGAGGCGAACCGGGGGAACUGAAACAUCUAAGUACCCCGAGGAAAAGAAAUCAACCGAGAUUCCCCCAGUAGCGGCGAGCGAACGGGGAGGAGCCCAGAGCCUGAAUCAGCAUGUGUGUUAGUGGAAGCGUCUGGAAAGACGCGCGAUACAGGGUGACAGCCCCGUACACAAAAGCGCAUGUGUUGUGAGCUCGAUGAGUAGGGCGGGACACGUGGUAUCCUGUCUGAAUAUGGGGGGACCAUCCUCCAAGGCUAAAUACUCCUGACUGACCGAUAGUGAACCAGUACCGUGAGGGAAAGGCGAAAAGAACCCCGGCGAGGGGAGUGAAAAAGAACCUGAAACCGUGUACGUACAAGCAGUGGGAGCACCCUUUGGGGUGUGACUGCGUACCUUUUGUAUAAUGGGUCAGCGACUUAUAUUCUGUAGCAAGGUUAACCGAAUAGGGGAGCCGGAGGGAAACCGAGUCUUAAUUGGGCGUUAAGUUGCAGGGUAUAGACCCGAAACCCGGUGAUCUAGCCAUGGGCAGGUUGAAGGUUGGGUAACACUAACUGGAGGACCGAACCGACUAAUGUUGAAAAAUUAGCGGAUGACCUGUGGCUGGGGGUGAAAGGCCAAUCAAACCGGGAGAUAGCUGGUUCUCCCCGAAAGCUAUUUAGGUAGCGCCUCGUGAAUUCAUCUCCGGGGGUAGAGCACUGUUUCGGCUAGGGGGCCAUCCCGGCUUACCAACCCGAUGCAAACUGCGAAUACCGGAGAAUGUUAUCACGGGAGACACACGGCGGGUGCUAACGUCCGUCGUGAAGAGGGAAACAACCCAGACCGCCAGCUAAGGUCCCAAAGUCAUGGUUAAGUGGGAAACGAUGUGGGAAGGCCCAGACAGCCAGGAUGUUGGCUUAGAAGCAGCCAUCAUUUAAAGAAAGCGUAAUAGCUCACUGGUCGAGUCGGCCUGCGCGGAAGAUGUAACGGGGCUAAAUCAUGCACCGAAGCUGCGGCAGCGA